GCCGAAACGACAACAACGAGCCCAGCGGGGCGCCGGCCCUGGCACCACGCCCCUUCGGCCAAGGAGAGCGGUGGGGUCCCACACCCCAGAGCAGGAUCAAUCUAAGGGGCACUGGGCCCCCUCAGAGCCCUGGGCCAAGGAACCAUCCCUAAGCCCCACCAGCAGCACCAAGGCAGCUGUGAACACUGCACUCCAUGCUGGGACGUCCCCUGGACACCUCCUCAUCUCCUGGCAGAUUUCAGGUUAGAAUCACCUUCCAGAGAGGCCACCCAGAUCACCCACCUCCAGACCCUCCAGACCCUCCAGAUUGAUGCUUUGCUACUCCCAC
This 328-nucleotide long non-coding RNA is filed under the name Fukomys damarensis (Damara mole-rat). Its description in RNAcentral is "lncRNA (ENSFDAG00000023633.1)". The record is from RNAcentral. Lineage: Eukaryota; Metazoa; Chordata; Mammalia; Rodentia; Bathyergidae.